This 766-nucleotide ribosomal RNA is filed under the name Polaribacter marinaquae. RNAcentral's name for it is "bacterial SSU rRNA". It matches the Rfam family "Bacterial small subunit ribosomal RNA", at positions 79 to 848 of the family's 1533-position model. Lineage: Bacteria; Pseudomonadati; Bacteroidota; Flavobacteriia; Flavobacteriales; Flavobacteriaceae. The record is from RNAcentral.
CUUGCACAGAUGACGACCGGCGCACGGGUGCGUAACGCGUAUAGAACCUACCUUUUACAGAGGGAUAGCCUUUAGAAAUGAAGAUUAAUACCUCAUAGUAUUGCGAUUUGGCAUCAAGUUGUAAUUAAAGAUUUAUCGGUAAAAGAUGGCUAUGCGUCCUAUUAGUUAGUUGGUAAGGUAACGGCUUACCAAGACAUCGAUAGGUAGGGGUCCUGAGAGGGAGAUCCCCCACACUGGUACUGAGACACGGACCAGACUCCUACGGGAGGCAGCAGUGAGGAAUAUUGGACAAUGGAGGGAACUCUGAUCCAGCCAUGCCGCGUGCAGGAAGACUGCCCUAUGGGUUGUAAACUGCUUUUAUACAGGAAGAAACACUAGUACGUGUACUAGCUUGACGGUACUGUAAGAAUAAGGACCGGCUAACUCCGUGCCAGCAGCCGCGGUAAUACGGAGGGUCCGAGCGUUAUCCGGAAUCAUUGGGUUUAAAGGGUCCGCAGGCGGUCGAUUAAGUCAGAGGUGAAAUCCCAUAGCUUAACUAUGGAACUGCCUUUGAUACUGGUUGACUUGAGUCAUAUGGAAGUAGAUAGAAUGUGUAGUGUAGCGGUGAAAUGCAUAGAUAUUACACAGAAUACCGAUUGCGAAGGCAGUCUACUACGUAUGUACUGACGCUCAUGGACGAAAGCGUGGGGAGCGAACAGGAUUAGAUACCCUGGUAGUCCACGCCGUAAACGAUGGACACUAGUUGUUGGGAUUUAUCUCAGUGACU